UGGGGAAUUUUGGACAAUGGGCGCAAGCCUGAUCCAGCAAUGCCGCGUGCAGGAUGAAGGCCUUCGGGUUGUAAACUGCUUUUGUACGGAGCGAAAAGGUCUGCCCUAAUACGGUGGGCUCAUGACGGUACCGUAAGAAUAAGCACCGGCUAACUACGUGCCAGCAGCCGCGGUAAUACGUAGGGUGCGAGCGUUAAUCGGAAUUACUGGGCGUAAAGCGUGCGCAGGCGGUUAUAUAAGACAGAUGUGAAAUCCCCGGGCUCAACCUGGGAACUGCCUUUGUGACUGCAUAGCUAGAGUACGGUAGAGGGGGAUGGAAUUCCGCGUGUAGCAGUGAAAUGCGUAGAUAUGCGGAGGAAUACCAGUGGCGAAGGCGCUGACCUGGACGAAGAUUGACGCUGAGGUGCGAAAGCGCGGGGAGCAAACA
Molecule: ribosomal RNA, 427 nt
Filed under: uncultured bacterium
Lineage: Bacteria
Description: bacterial SSU rRNA
Rfam family: Bacterial small subunit ribosomal RNA
Source: RNAcentral